Stomoxys calcitrans (stable fly) is the source of this 3427-nucleotide long non-coding RNA. RefSeq lists it as uncharacterized. Lineage: Eukaryota; Metazoa; Arthropoda; Insecta; Diptera; Muscidae. The record is from RefSeq and is a predicted model, not a curated record. The transcript has 2 exons.
UUAUAGGUCUGUAGGCCUUUGGUGUCGUCCUUGCCCAAAAAUUCCGUUAUGAUAAGCCUUCGAUCGGUUGGAUUUACAAUCGACAACAACUCUCAUUUGAAACACCUUAUAUUUUAAAUUAGUUAACAAUCAAAUCAUCAAUGAUUUUGUGUAUAUAUUUUCAAUUAACAUUUAUUUAAUUUUCAUUCCGUAAUAAAAUUUCGUACCUUAAAGACGUGUGUUAGUUCUUAGAAAGUUAAUACUAUUCCACAAUUACAACCCUGCAAUAGGUAAUGGGACUGUCAGUAUGGAACUUCGUUUGCAAAACUAAAUGCAGAUAAUUACCAUCUAUGGAAAUAUAAGUUGGAGUUGAUUUUGCGUAAAAGGAUUAUGGAUUUGCGUUUCUGAGCCUGUGCCAUAAAAAAUAACAGAAGUUUGGACAAAGCAGAAUGAAGACGCCACCGCAAUUAUUGGACUUUCUGUCGAAGAUGUUCAGUUAAUGUUAAUAAAGAAGACCAAAACAGCCCACGAAUAAUGGACGAUUCUUCAAAGUCACUACGAGAAGAAUACUCUUUGAAGCAGCGUGCGGAUAAUGAAGCAGAUAUGUAGCAUGAUAUAUUCAAUGGGCACGAGUAUAUCAGACCAUAUCAUGGACAUGAAUUUGUUAUUCGAGAAGUUGGAAGCAAUUUGUGGGAAUUUUUCUGAACGGUGGUUAGCAGCGAUGUUGUUUAGUAGCCUACCGGGUUCAAGGAAUCAGAGAAAGGUAAUGAUAUUGUUUUCCGCUUGUAAUAGCGGUUCGGAAUGGAUUCUCGACUUGUCAUAUUAAGUCACAACGUUGGCAUUUUGUAUCGCUCACCGACAACACUUUUAACAUUAAACUUGAAGAUGUUUUAUACAUACCCUCCUUUCAAGGCAAUCUGCUAUCUGUCAAUAAAAUAUUGAAAAAGGGGCAAAGCAUUACAUUCAAGAACGAGACAGCACGAAUUCGAAGAAGAAAUGGGAAAGAAAUAGGAAUUGCGGACUUAUCCUCAGGACUUUUCCAUUUACGUCAAGGACAAAAAGGUAUGUUAGCCGAAUGCAAAUCUUCAAAUUGCCUACAUUAUUGGCAUAAUGCAAUUAGAGAUGGAAAAGAAAAACCUCAUAGAUAAUCAUACGGUGAAAGAUUAUGGUAUUCGAAAAAUCUGUGAUGUUUGCGUCAAAUGUAAGACGACGAGGGCACUAUUCAAUAAACAAUCAACUAAAAACUCUACACGAGUUCUAGACCUGGUGCACACUGACGUCAGUGGACCAAUGUAAGAAAUAUUCUUACGUUUAUUGACGAUUUCAGCCGAUACACGGUUGUGUAUUUACUUAAUACUAAAGAUAAAGUCUUUGAAAAGAUAAAGUCAUUUGUUGAGUUGGUAAAUAAUAAAUUCGGAAGGUACCCCACAGUUUUGAGAUCUGAUAAUGGUGAAUGGUAUUGCGGAAAGGAAAACCCGGACACAGGUAGAAAUGACGCGAUGCUUGUUGGAAGAAGCUUAACUACCGAAUGAUUUCUGGGGUGAGGCAAUAAUGACAUAAAACUAUCUCCAAAACCGUUUAUAUUCAAGAUCCGUGAAUGUGAUACCAUAUGAAUUAUGGGAAAAAAGACGCCCAGAUACACAAAAGUUAAAAAUUUUCGGAACCAAAGGACCUGUAUUGAUUCCUAGUAAGAAACGGCAAAAAUGGGACACCAAAACGGAAAUUUUGACAUUUGUCGGUUACGACGAAUAUUCCAAUGGUUAUCAUAUGGUAAACACGAAAGCAAAAAAAGUAACAAUAAGUAGGGAUGUUAAAUUUAUUCAAAAUGUGUAUACUCUUGAAUCUUGUGAAAACAGGCAUGCAGAAAAAUUUGGUUAUAACGCAUUUGAGCCAAAAUCGGAAUUGAUUGAACCAAGAACUUACAACGCGGCAUUGAAAUCACACCAGCGAGAAAAAUGGAUUGAUGCAUUAAAAGAAGAGUUUAAUCAUUUAAAGAAAACUGGCACAUGGGAUUAGGUAAUAGCUCCGCAAAACUUGAAUAUUGUUAGCUGCAAGUAGACAUAGAAGCUUAAACGUGACGCUGAGGGGAAAGUGCAAAGAAAUAAGGCUCGUUUGGUAGCACGAGGAUUUAUUCAAAAGUAUGGAUUGGAUUACGAGGAAGUCUAUGCUUAAGUAAUAAAACAAGCCACUGUACGAACUCUAUUGUCUAUAGCUGGACGUAAGAAUAUGUCGGUUGUACACUAUGAUGUAAACUCUGCGUUUUUAAAUGGUGAGAUGAAUGAAGGAUAUAUACGGCUCAACCACCAAGAUUUGCAGAAAGUGAUCAAAACCUUGUAUGCAAACUAAGGAAAAGUAUUAUGGACUGAAGCAAGCUGCACACAUCUGGAACGGUACUUUACAUAAUGUUUUGUCCAAUGGCAGUUUUCAACACUCCAGUGCCGACUGGUUAAUAUACGAUCUGGUUUACGUUACUGACAUGGAAAUACUCCAAGAUGAGUCGUCGAAUUCUUGCGUACGUCAGAGGACUUACAUUAAUAAUCUUUUGAAAGAAUAUUGACUUGAUAAGUCAAAAGAAUCGAAUUAUCCAAUGAACCCAUCAUAUGGGUAAAUCUAUGUCAGAAAAGUUGCUGGAUAAUACAAGUUUUAAGUUCUAAUCUGAGUUCUAAUUCGAGACCAGAUAUUGCUACCUGCGUGUCUAUUCUUGCGCGUAAAGUCAGCGAGCCAAGUCAGAGGUUUGGAUAAAGGGUACAUCUAAUUAUUUUCUAAGGCUUAGUAAAGCGGAACUUGAGUCAUAUAUCCUUCAAGGAUAUGCGGAUACUAAUUGGGCUGAAGUCAUAAAGGAUAGAAAACCCAAUUCAGGGUAUGUUUUCCAAUUAAAUUGAGGAUCCAUCAGUUGGUCAUGCAGAAAACAAACCUGUGUUUCCCUGUCAUCAACAGAAGCAGAAUUUAUAGCAUCCUCUGAGGCGUGUAAAGAAGCUAUUUGGCUUUGAAAGCUUCUUAAGGAUAAAAGAGGGGAAACUAAGCCAACGAACAAAGCAUAUUGACACAAAAAUAUAUUUUGCUAAAGAUCAUCAUAUUGAAAAGAAAGAUGUCGCAUGCGUUUACUGUCUAAGUCAGAUGAUGGUUGCCGAUGAAAUGCCGAAACCAGUACCGUCUUCAAUAUAAGAAAAAUUCUUGGUGUUGUAAUCGAAUGAGGAAGAGUGUUGGAGUUAAAAUCGACAACAACUCUCACUUGAAAGACUACAUAUUAAUUUAGUUAACAAAUGACAUUAAAUUUUAUUUUCAUUCCAUAACAAAUUUCGUACCUUGAAGACGUGUGUUAGUUCUUAGAAAGUUAAUACUAUUCCACAAUUGUAAACCUGCAAUACGAUCAACCUCAUUAUUCCAAGAUUCCGGUGUUCCGUGAGUCCCGUCGUAUGCUGUGAAAAAUGGGUUUUCAUUAAAAGUC